RNAcentral lists this ribosomal RNA (400 nucleotides) under uncultured bacterium. RNAcentral's name for it is "bacterial SSU rRNA". It matches the Rfam family "Bacterial small subunit ribosomal RNA", at positions 356 to 773 of the family's 1533-position model. The record is from RNAcentral.
GGGGAAUAUUGCACAAUGGGGGAAACCCUGAUGCAGCAACGCCGCGUGAGUGAUGACGGUCUUCGGAUUGUAAAGCUCUGUCUUCAGGGACGAUAAUGACGGUACCAGAGGAGGAAGCCACGGCUAACUACGUGCCAGCAGCCGCGGUAAUACGUAGGUGGCAAGCGUUGUCCGGAUUUACUGGGCGUAAAGGAUGUGUAGGCGGAUAUUUAAGUGGGAUGUGAAAUACUCGGGCUUAACCUGGGUGCUGCAUUUCAAACUGGAUGUCUAGAGUGCAGGAGAGGAAAGCAGAAUUCCUAGUGUAGCGGUGAAAUGCGUAGAGAUUAGGAAGAAUACCAGUGGCGAAGGCGGCUUUCUGGACUGUAACUGACGCUGAGGCAUGAAAGCGUGGGGAGCAAAC